UACGGAGGGUGCAAGCGUUGUUCGGAUUUACUGGGCGUAAAGCGCGCGCAGGCGGGUGAACAAGUCGGAAGUGAAAUCUUGAGGCUCAACCUCGAGGCUGCUCCCGAAACUGUUCGCCUAGGGACUGGUAGAGGCUGGUAGAAUUCCCGGUGUAGCGGUGGAAUGCGUAGAGAUCGGGAAGAAUACCUGUGGCGAAGGCGAAUCCCUGGAAAAUACCUGACACUGAGGCACGAAAGCUAGGGGAGCAAACAGG
Molecule: ribosomal RNA, 253 nt
Filed under: uncultured bacterium
Lineage: Bacteria
Description: partial 16S ribosomal RNA
Rfam family: Bacterial small subunit ribosomal RNA
Source: RNAcentral